This is a long non-coding RNA of Equus asinus (donkey), 12331 nucleotides long. Lineage: Eukaryota; Metazoa; Chordata; Mammalia; Perissodactyla; Equidae. The record is from Ensembl.
GUGAAAGUCCUUCCUGGGACCGUUGCAACGGGCCAGCAGCUAACAGAGGGGGUCUGGUCCAAGCUUUGCUGGCAGACUGAACCCUCCCUGGUGCCCCACUGCACACACACAGUCUGCGAUGACUGGCUCUGGGGGCGAGUAGCAAACUGUUUCUCCUUUCGCUUCGCCUGGGGCUCGGAACAAGUGACCGGGAAAGCGGGAAGUUGGUGACAGUCAGAGUCAUGAACACCCGUCAGACUCCCUCCCCACAAUACCACACCGCUCCCACUCCCCAAAGGGCCCAAGCCUCCAGAGGGAGGACAUCCGAGACCCGACCCCCACCAGGAAGCUUCUCUUCGCUUGCCCCACCUGCUCAGGAGCAACGUGGCCCUGGCAGGAGGAAGCUUCUGAAAGAUUUUCUUAGUGGAGCACAUGGGGUGGCCCAACCGGGGAGACGGGGCACAGAAAGCAUGCGGGGAGGGGGGUGGGGGGGUUAAGAGAAGAGGCUGUAAAGCCCGGGAGGGAGACUUGGCUUGUCCCUCUCCCACCGCACUCCUCCAAGACCCAGAGGCCUGAGCUUUUCAUUCAUCCUUUAAGGAAGGCGCAAAGAUGGAGGGGGGUCCUACCGAGGGAGGGGCCAGAGGCCACCACGACGGAUGAGGACCAGGCUGGCCCAGCCCCUUCAUCUUACGGUGGGGGGCGGUGAGGAGGAAGCGGAGGAGGGGAAGGUUGGCGGAGCGGGGAGGUGGGGAGCAAGGACUUGGCAGAAGCGCGCUCGACCGGAGGAAAGUCCCGAAAGCGGGAGAGCUCUGGGCUCCCAGGCCAGGGGGAGGGUGGAGGGGCCUGGGAGGGUCGCGGGCUGCCUCGGCCGCUUACCUGUCGCGCCAAGGCAGAGCCGCAGCCGCGCCGCCGACCGGCUCGCCGGCUUCCCGACGGGACGUCCUGGAGGGCGGGGCCGGGGCGGGCCCUGCAAGGCUGCUGGGGCGCGCCCUCCCCGCCCCUCCCCUGCCCGGCCAGGUGCAGGCGGUCACCCGCCGCGUCCCCGAGCGCUGCAGCCGGCAGCGGAACGCCCUCUGCUCCUAGGGCCGCCUGGAGGCUGGCGGCCGGGUCGGGGGCGUCCCCCGCCCCGUGCGCCCCACCUGCCGGCCGCUGCUAGGAGCCCAGCUUCUCCAGAUCGCAGCCCACCCCGGGAUGCAGCCUCCGCGGCCAGGCUCUCAGCGCCGAAAAAGAUCGGAGGGUCCUAGCCCCCUCCAGGACGACAGGCAUUAGCCGAGCCGCCGGUGGCGCGGAGCUGCGUGUGCAUGGAACCGCAGCGUGCGCCGCGCGGGCUCGGCGGCGGCGCGGCCGGAGCGCUCAGAGCCCGGAGGCAGCGGCGCCGGAGGGGAAAAACGCGGCCGGGCAGCGAGGAGCCCCGGGGCUCCGUCCCAGGUAGACAGACGUAUCAACAGCUUUGCUUUUGGCAAAGUGAAAGCAGAUUUGGAGUGAUACCUGAGUUGGAUCCUGGCUCUUCCAACUACUCACUGUCUGACUUUAAAUUCAGCCUUUAAAAAACGUUGGCACUCUCCAAAGGCAGCAUGUAGGUGCAAAGUGGUCCUCCCCCCCUCAGUGUGGUGGGUAGAGUGGGUAGAGGCCACACAGAGCCAAGGACUGUCCCUCUGCCGGCUCCUGGGUCCGUUCCACCUGGAUCUGCGGAUAAAUCCAGAGGACUUUGAUCUCAGGGAUUUCUAAUCACCCGGAGAUCAGGAGGAGACACUGAAGGGAAGCCCUAAACUAGAAUGAUGUUUUCUUUCUCCGUGAAUAGAAUGUGGGUUAUGUUUGCUGAGAGCAGAUUAAAAUAGAUUUUAUUGUUUGAAAUCAGGGAUUACAGAAACUCUUUGAAGAGCUGCUGAUUCUCAGUGAAGCCUACAGCCCCCCCACUGUGGUAGUGGGUGGAACAGUCAACCUCAGUGGGGAUGUACGUGGGUUUUCUCAGAGUUCAGACCCACUGCCAGACAGGAAGCUGGUGAUAGUUGGUGAGGAGUGGUGCUAAGAGAAACCUAUGGUUAGUGAGGGAAAAACCCACGUUCUUAACUUUCCAUAGAAUUUUGUCAACUAGAAGGGAUGCCCCAGAAUAUCUCAAGGAUCACUGCACCCUUUCACCACUCCAUGGACAAGGGGAUUGGGGAUGUGGAUUAUCUAGUUUACUUACAUGACAUAAUUUUUUUCAGCAGGACCUUAGAGGAGCAUGAAUGAACUCCUUCAUGUUUUCUACUGUCAGGAGAAGACAGACCUGAAGUGGUGCCUUGAUAUACGCACAUUCUGCCAGACUACAGUAAGAUGUGACAGGCAUAUAUUGUCAGAACAAGGGCUGCACUCAAACUUUGAAAAGAUAUUGGCUCCACUUAUUAAUGAUCAAGACUUAAAAUAUCCUGGAGUUUGGCUGUUGUAAGAGGUUUAUGGGAAACUAUUCUAGGCUUGCCAAACCACCAAGUGACUUCACAGGUACAAAACAUGGAUGCCCCAAGAACAGGAGAAGAACCCCCACUAGGGGGAGCUGGAGAUGGACUUUUAGGACCUUGGUGGUCUCUGUGAUGUGUUAUCCUGUCCUGGCAUUCAAUACCCUGGUGAACCCACAAGUGCUAAAUUUGAAGGCUAUGGGGGUCAGGAUAGCUGACCCCUCAGCUUUUGUUGGUCCCUGGGCUGUUAGUUUCAGCUCAACAUGGUGAUCCAUUCUUCUUGCCCGAUGGCCAAAGAAGGGUGUCUCCUGGGAGCCUCUGGGAAAGCUUUCAUUCCUUUGAACAAAACGGAUACAAGAAGAAGACAGCCCCUCGGAAGCCUAGCUGAGGACAGAGCCCACCCAGUGACAGGGUGGAGCAGAGAGGCCACAGAACCCGGACCACUGCUGACGCUGUUGAUCUGGAGCUUGUAUUGCUCAUGGAGUCCACCCCACCAUGGCAUCUGUUAUGUGAGAUAACUCUGUGGGCUGUUCUGGAGCCAAGGGAGGGACCAAAGGGGAAAAUAGGGGGCACCAGCCCAAAGGGACCCAGACCUUCUCCAAGGACAUUCAGAUUUUGCUUUGAGUCUACAAAAACUAGAACUUUCUACAGAACCUGGAAUGCCACAGAGGAAACAAUCCCACCCGGGGAGUCAGAGAACCUUAGAGCCAAUAUGGCCCUAAGGUUAAUUCCAGUGGCGGAGGAAGCCAUGUCUGAAUGGGAGCCUCAGCUGGCCGCCCGUGUAAGCAGCUUCUCUGAGACCUUGCAGAGGAGUGAAGACCUGGAGGGGGUGCUCAUGCACUCCUUGCUUUUGGAACCAGAGAAUUGGAGCCCAGGGAACAUUCUGGAGGUGCCAGGUCACACCACCCAUUCUUCACAGGGUUCUCCCACAGCCAGAUGCUAUGGGAGAGGCCCAUCUCAGUAUGUGGGUGCUGGGAGGCCGAGAUAGAACUCCCCCGACCAAAGGAGAGACUCAGACUGACUGCACGGUACCCCUCAGCUGGCAGUUCUGUAAUGGUGCGCAAGUUGUUUACUCUCAGUUUUCUCUUUUUAAAAAAAGGAUAUUAAUGUGGAUCUGUUGUAAAAUUUAGAUGAGAUAAUGUAUGUAAAUCACUCGUAAUGUGCUCAGAACAUAGUAAACGCUCCAUUUUCAACGACAACAGUGACAACAACACAGGCACCCAGGGCCACUCCUCGGCUGCCAAGGAGAGCCACUGAGCUCUCCUAACCGUGCAGGGGCCCCUCAAGCCUGAAUGGACGGAUCCGUGAAGCCAACACAUGGCUGUCUUGGUAUGCGCCUGUAACUCCACCCAAAAGCUCUUUUUUGGAGUUUGGGAUGGAGCCUCAUAGCUCGUUGAUGAGCUUAGCUGACCUGUGAGGUUUCGUCUGGGUUUGAGGGUGGCCAAGAAUGACCACUUAGGUCCUACUCCAAGUUCUUUCAUUUGGGUCUACUCCCAAAGCAGCUGGAAGCGGUGCAAAGGAUGGAAAUGAGACAACGGUACAUCCACUGGGUGGCUGCUGCUCCCUGUGGCCUCUUCUGUCAAUUCACGGAGAAGCACUCCCCAGAGUCUGGUGACGUUGGCAGCCAGUGAGGAGCAAGAUGUCUGCCUGACCGGAGGAGCACUGAGCUGCAGGUUCGCUGCCUCUCUACCUCGGCCACAUCACACCCAGGUCUAAAGGCCAAGCCUUGAAAUUCUUCCUGUGUCAGCCUUGGAGCCGUCAGCCCUUGUCUGUACCUGUGCUGCACGCAGGAGGUUGUUAGUCCAUCAGGAGCCUUAUGAAUUGUUAGAAGAUCCCCCUUCCUCUGGGCAGAUGCAGACCUGGGUCAGGGCACAGCGCGCCACGCUAAGCCUGUGCAGGGCUGAAGCUGCACGACCACCUGUGCAGCCGUGGCUGCAGCCCUGGGAGUCCCCAUCUCUGUGCGGGGCCCGCUGCAGUGACCUCUGCCUUGGGGUGGGCAAAGGAAGUGGGCUUCCCUCGGUGUGAAGCCGGACAUAUGGGCACACUCUAGGGAUCUUCCUACUUAGCCACCGUUGCUGUUUGCUGUCAGAGCAGACCCAAAUCUGAUACCAGGAGCUGCAUGAAGGAGACAGAUCACUGAUCUGGAACAUGGGACUGCCUGCUGAACAUCAAAUUAGCAGACUCCUGACCAAAGGCAGGAGAGACGGGGGACGUGACUGUGUACAAGGACAGACAGAGAUCGGGAGAGGGCCAGUCAAAUGUGAAGCAUCUGCUCUCUUCUCUGUCUAGCAUCUCUUCAGGGAACUACCUUCCUUCGAUUCUCAGUCCAUGAAGUUCAGAUGAAGCCCACCUCACCCCCAGCACCAAGGGUGGAUCUGUGAUAUGUACAUCAUAUCUAUGUGCGCAUAUCCUUUGGCCACCAGCAUUGGUUUAGGGUUAGGCACAUUACCCAAGCCAGGCUACUCAGCCUUGUCUGAGAUAUUUCCUGGAACUAGCAAAAAAGAUGACCCCACCCCACAUGGCCGCUGAUGGAAUCAUUAGCUGGGAAAAUGAUGUAAGUUUAGAGCAGCCAAUGGCUAUCCUUGCUAUUACAUGAGGAAGGAGAGUCAGCCUGAGCAUGAAGUCAAUCCUGAGAAAGCAGAGAAUAAAGGUAAAGAGUAAGAGGACUCUAAUGAUAUAUUUUGGACUCCUGGAUCCUGCUGUACCUGAAGUCAUUUAUUCCUAGACUUCUCCCUUCUUUCACUUUCUUUUCUUUCCCUCUGUUUACUCUCUCUCUCCCUUUCUUCUUUUGGUUGAAAUUUGUUUGAAUGUUUUUGUUACUUGCAACUGAAAGAACCUGACCAGUAAACAAUGUAUGCACUGAACUAACUUAUUGUGAUAGGGAAGUUGGUAAAGGGCCAUCUGUGUUCACUUAAACCCAGGCCUGGCAGGGAGGAAGCAGAGAGAAACUCCCAAGAAAAACUUAGGAAAUGAAGCUUUUGACUCUCCAAGUAACAGAGAAAGAGAGUGGAGUGGAGACUCGCAGUGAGAGGUGAGGACACAUUGGAUUGGGAGGGAUGGACCACCCAUCCUUCUAGGCUUUGUCCUGUGAGAUGCCCUUGAACUAGGCCAUUUCCCAGGGAGGACUUGGAGAUACAUGGGAGACCAGGAGAACUUGGGAGAGGAGAUGACCCAAAGACUAGAGAGGCAAGAGGCUAGUCCAGCGUGGGGUCUGUCUCCAAGCCCCUCAGGGCGUGCUGCACCUCGACCCCUGUUAGUGCUGGGGGGCCGGGAGAGCCCCAUUUCUCCACUUCCUUACAACCUCAGGCUCAGGCACGUUGAUGUUCUGUGGCCCACCACAUCCCUCACGUUUGCUUUGGAGAGACUGCACCAAAUUCUCAGUGGGGUCUCCCCUGUUACAUAUAAAUAGUGCUGCUGUAAACCCUCUCUCUGCAUAUCUCUGGCCAUUUUCCUAUGGUAAACUUCUAGAAGUGGAACUUGCUAGGUCAAAGGUUAUGAACAUUAUUAAAGUUUUUGAUUCUUAUUCCAGGAGGAAAUAUUACCCAUUACUAGAAGAGACAGAAAAAGUUCCUGCCCUUGUCAACUAGGAGAGGGCUGAUGGCCCAUAACUAAUGUAAGAGGUGACCUGUUUUUCAGAAAAACAGAGCCACGUCACAAUGUCUGUAAUAAAUUAAAUUAAGACCGUAAAAUGUGGUGUGGGUGCAGCAGAUCACAUGGCAUUAAACAAAUUGGACUGCCUGGUUCCCUGGAGAUACACGGGACAGAAAGCAGCAGAGGGACGUAAUGGGGUUAGCGUGGUGCUUUCCUGGAAGUUGGAAGUGUGGCAGUCGCAGCUGCUGUGGUUGCGUUUACCGAGGGCGACUUCUGUGUAAGUGGGGUUAGGGCCAGAGGAAGGCAAAGAACUAGCAUUUCUCUCUCAGGGAGCUCUGUUCGAUGAGAGGAAUCACCAGCUACAAAUAUAAUUAUCCCAGAAGAGAGAUUUUGUCCUGGUGUAAGUAAGAACAUUCUAACAUUCUAUCAACAGUUGGAAAGGUUCAUGCAUAUGACAGCACUUGGAAGCCAUAAAGCAUUACUGGGGAGGGGUACAGUGCCAGGUACUAAGGAGUCAGAGAGGAAGACGUGGUCCCCAUCUGUAAGGAGCUCCUGGUCUAGUGAACGAUUCCUCUAGGAUGUGAUGAGAGCUGUAACAGAGGAACAUAUAUAGGAGUCCAGUGAUGGCACAAGGUGGGGAGUGAUUAACUUACUUGCUGGAUGAAGAGGUGACAUGACCUGGUUUGUGAAGAACGAGUAGAAGUUUACCAGGUGGGUAGUGAGAGAGAUGCAAGUAGAGUGAGGGGCCUACGUGUGACCUGGGUGGACCCACGAUUUGGAAUGCAAAUAACACGGCCCAGCUAGUCCCCAGAAUAUAGUGCUGCAGGCUCUAUGCAGCGAUAUCAGAUCCAGAAGUCCAGUCUGGGGCCAUCGGAGGCUCCACUCUCCCCAGGUUCCCUCGGACUACUGGUGUUGAGAACAGACCACGUUGGUCGUGGCUAGGUGGGCUCCUUGCAGCAGGGGCUGCCGUUAAUGAGGAGGAGUCAGCCCGGGCCAGAUAGUCCUCAGGGCAGAAGCUGGGCAAAUUUGGAGGCGUGUCAAAAGACGAGGGGACUGGAGCCAAGUCUUGCCCUGAGAGUGUGUCUGAAGCACGGGAUCCCUGUGCUACUAGCUAGACUGGUCAGAAUUCCCUGUUUAAAACUCUUUCGGUUUUUCCGCGCGGCGACUUCCACCGGGCGCUCGGCUGCCGGCCCUAGUGGUGCACAGUGCACGGAUGCCGCCCGUGGACGCCUGUGUUAGUUUCCUGGAGCUGCUGUGACAAAGUACCACAAACUGGGUAGCUUAAAACAGAAAUUUAUUGUCUCACGGUUGUGGAGAAAUCCGCAGGGCCAUGCUCCCUCUAGAAUCUGUAGGGGACCGCUCCUUGCCUCUUCCUAGCUUCUGGUGACUUGCCCGCAAUCUUUGUCAUUCCUUGGACUGUCAACGCAUCACUCUGACCCUCUCCCCUCACAUGGCGUUCUCCCUGUGUCUCUCUGGGCCUUCACACAGCCGUCUCUUUAUAAGGACACCAGUCAUAUUGGACUAAGGGGCGGCUCUACUCCAGGAUGACCUCCUCUUAAUUAAUUACCCCUGCAAUGACCCUAUUUCCAAAUAAGGCCACAUUCUGAGGUACUGGCGGUGAGGACUUCACCGUGUCUUUUGGGGGACACCGUUCAAACCAUAACAGCAUCUCUUAGAAAUGUGGUGGCAGAGCUUUCAGAUAGCAAGGACCUGAGCUCCCAGCGCUCUGAAGUGCCACUCAGGGGUGACAGCUAGGGGACGUGGUGUUUACAUCUUUCUGCUGGGGAGACCCAAGGCUGCCCAGGAUGGCGGCUGCAGGAAGAUGUGGGCUGCAGGGAGCCGGGCUCUGCCUCGCUGCAGCGAUGUUGCUCUAGAGGGAGCAGGUAGAGUUGCGUUCCUGUCAAGGGAGCCAUUUGGGGCCCUUUCCCAGUCGUUCUUCAAGGAGAGUGGCUCCCAGUGUAGUGCUCCCUCUGGAACAUUCUCCUUCCUGGACAGGUAAGGAGUGAGGAAGGGAAUAACUAGUUACCCAGUUUGGGGUUUUUUCCCAGAGUUUUCCUGGAUAUUUUUGCUUGCCCAUUAAAAAAAUAAACAUUUUGUGAUCUGAAAUUUAUAGAUGAGCAAAAGGAGAAUUAACAGCAUAAAUAAAAUCGAGUUUUGCCUAGCAGACACAGGGGGUGCCUUUCGAUUUACUCAAGACUUCUUUUGUGCCACUCAGUGGGAGCUGCUCUUUUCAUAUAGUUCUUGCAUGUUGCUUGUUUGCACAAUCUUCUGUCUCUUCGCUUAUUGUCCUAACAGGCAUCCUUUCUCUCAUUCUAUUAUCGAGUCAGUUGUGCUUUGAGUUAUAGGAAAGCUAUUGAUUUUUGCAUAAUAAUCUCGUGCCCAGCCACUUUUCUGAAUUGUCUUAUUGUUUGCAGUAGUUUUCAGUUGAUUCUCUUAUAGUGAUAUAAUGUAGGGACAUAAUGACUACAAUGAUAUAAUGUCUCUUCCUUUCUGAUUUACAUAUAUAUAUAUAUAUAUAUAUAUUUUGUUGUUGUUGUUGUUAUCAAGUUCUGUUGGCUAAUACCCUCUCUACCCAUUAAGUAACAGUGAUGAUUAUGGUCACCCUUAAUUUGUUUCUGACUUUACUGGGAAUACUUCUGUUGUUUUCCUGCUAAGAAUGGUGCUAGGUUCGAUUGUUCCAAUUAGAGUUGCCCGUGAAUGCAAUUGGGCUUGAAUUUAUUCAUUUUUUUAGUGGAGGGUAUUUCUUUCAAACUUUCUUGUUUCUUCUCCCCUCCUCCUUCAUUUGGAUUUUCUAUCUUUUUAACUAUCUUUUUUUUUUUUGAGGAAGAUUAGCCCCGAGCUAAAAUCUGCCACCAAUCCUCCUCUUUUUGCUGAGGAAGACUGGCCCUAAGCUAACAUCCAUGCCCAUCUUCCUCUACUUUAUAUGUGGGACGCCUACCACAGCAUGGCAUGCCAAGCGGUGCCAUGUCUGCACCCAGGCUCCAGACCAGCGAGGAACCUCCAUACUGUUUUCCACAGUAGCUGCACCAAUUUGCAUUCCUACCGCCAGCUCCUUUGUUUCACAUCCUCACCGACACUUGUUAUCCUUGUCUUUUUGAUAAAAACCAUUCGAACAGGUGUGAGGUGACAUCUCAUUGUGGAUUUGAUUUGCAUCUCCCCCGAGGAUUCGUGACAUUGAGAACUUUUUCAUGUACCUGUUGGCCAUUUGUGUGUCUUCUUUGGAAAAAUGUCCAUUCACAUCCUUUGCCCAUUUUUUAAUUGGUUAUUUGGUUGUUUUUUUUUUUUUUUUUGCUAUUGAGUUGUAUGAGUUUCUUAUACAUUUCGGAUAUUAACCCCUUACAAAUAUAUGGCUUGCAAAUAUUUUCUCCCGUUCUGUAGGUUGCCUUUCCAUUUUGUUGAUUGCUUCUUUUGCUUUGUAGAGGCUUGUUAGUUUGAUGUAGUCCCACUUGUUUAUUUUUGCUUGUGUAACUUGUGUUUUUGGUGUCACAACCAAAAAAAUCUUUGUCAAGACUGAUGUCAAGGAGCUUUUCGCCUAUGUUUUCUUCUAGGAGUUUUACUGUUUCAGGUCUUAUACUUAAGUCUUUAAUCCAUUUCAAGUUAAUUUUUGUGAGUGUUGUACCAAAGAGGUCCAAUUUCAUUCUUUUGCGUGUAACUAUCCAGUUUUUCCAGCCACAAUUAUUGAAGAGACUAUUCUUUCCCCAUUGAGUAUUUUUGGCUUUAUUGUCAAAUAUUAGUUCCAUGGCUUCAUUUCUGGGCUCUCAUUUCUGUUACAUUCGUCUAUGUGUCUGUUUUUAUGCCAGUACCAUACUAUUUUGAUUACUAUAACUUUGUAUUAUAGUUUGAAAAGUUCUUGAAUAUGUUUAUAAGUUUCAUUGUUUUUCUGUUUUCUUAUUUAAUAAUUUCUACUUCCAUCUUUAGGAAGUUUUUAGUUUUUUUGUGGUUCUUUUUCUAACUUCUUGAGUGGGAUGCUUAGUUCACUUAUUUUAAUUUCAUAUUUAUGUGUAUAGUUAUUUAAAGCUAUAAAAUAUUUUUGGUUCUAGUCUUCUGCAGUUUGUUUUAAUUUCCUUUUCUUAUGAAUGAGUUACUUAAGAGUUUAAAAAUUCCAUUUAGUAGAGUUUAAAAAAAAUUUAUUACUGAUUUCAAGUUUUAUUACAUUAUGAUAAUAGAAUGUCUUUUAAUCUAUAGAAUUUACUGAGUUUUCCUUUGGUUUAAUAGUCAAUUUUGGUGAAUAUUCCAUAAGCCCUUAAGACAUAUAUUCUUUGUUUUCAAAAUAUAGAGUUUAAUAUAUGUCAAUUAGAUCAGUCAUAUCAAUUAUGUUACUCAAGUGUCUAUCUUAUUUUUCGUCUUGCUCUGUUACAGGUGGAGAGAGGUAAAAUAAGCUCUUCUCAUAAUAAUGUGUGUCAAUUCUUCCUUGUAUUUCCAGUAAACUUUGUUCUGUGUGUUUGUUAUUAUGUUAUUUGGUGCGUAGGUAUUUGUUAGAUCGUCAUUGUAGACCUUUCUUGUUAUAAAGUGCCUGUAAUUUUUGCCAGAAGGUAAAAUCAUGACUUUCUUUCUUUUCUUUCCUUUAGUGGGCAUACCUCUGCCCAUCCUUUAUCUUUCAAACUUUCUGAGUCGCUUUGCUUUAGGCAUGACUCUUAUACUUUGGGGACAGUCUCUGCUUUUGGUAUUUGGCCAGCUUGGGGCAGGAGAAGACGUGAAAUAGGGCCCCCUGGCCUGGGAAUUUGCCUAUUUAAUAGAGGUCUUUGUUUGAUUAUUUGUGUUUUUGAAAAUGUCUUUAUUUCACUUUCAUCCCCCACCUUUUUUGACCCUCUAUUUCCCAACUUUUAAUGAUGAAAAAUUUCAAACAGAGAGAGAAGAUGAAAAACGAGAACAAUGAACAUCAGUAAAGCCCCACUAGAUUUCACAAUUGUCGACAUCUUGCCAUAUUUACUUUAUUUCUAUCUCCAUCUGGGCCUAUCUAUCUAUUUCUAUAUCUGUAUUGCUAUAUCAUUUGCAAGUAAGUUGUAGACAUCAUGAUACUCUACCCCUAGACACUGCGGCGUGCAUCUCCUAAAGCGAAGAAUCGUUUCCUACAUAACCGCAAGCCAUCACAUACAAAAACGACCCAGGGUGGAAUCUUUUUAAAUUCUGUGUUUCUUCGCUGGAAGUUCUCCUGGUGAUCUACAGUCACAGGGAUGCCAGCGGCUUGCUGGCGACAGUAACCCCAUCCUGAUCAUGCCCUCGCAGGAAGACGAGGGAGGGGAUCAGAACUGGCCGCAGGUGUUUGAAGGGCUGUCACUGGAAGAAUGAGCGGCGUUUCCCUCUGGCACUGCAGAGGAGGCACUUGGAAUAAAGAGAAGUUUCAAGGAGGCAAAUUGAUUCUGGACUGGGCCUCAAUGAUGAAUUCCUUGUCACUGGAGAUAUCUAGGGGAAAUGGGAUGGCCCCUUCUCAGGGUUGCUAUGGAGGGGAAUCAUCUUGGAUAGACUUUCUUAGGGGAAAGGGACAAGAAGUUCUGGAGAGACUCAAACUGAUACCCAGGUUAUAAUCAGACUGUAAUGACUCGUUCAUUUUGCCUACCCCAAAUAAAACUGAUUCUUUUUGUAUCUGUUUUUUGUUUUUGAGGAAGAUUAGCCCUGAGCUAACUGCUGCCAAUCCUCCUCUUUCUGCUGAGGAAGCCUGGCCCUGAGCUAACAUCCGUGCCCAUCUUCCUCUAUUUUAUACCUGGGACGCCUACCACAGCAUUGGCUUGCCAAGCGGUGCCAUGUCCGCACCCGGGAUCCAAACCGGGGUACCCCAGGCCCCCCAAGAAAUGGAACGUGUGAACUUAACCACUGCGCCACUGGGCCGGCCCCUGUAUUUUAAAAAUUUGAGCUCAUAAUAGUUUCUGUAUCUGUUUUAAGGCUGGAUUUUUUUUCCGUGCUAUUCAUUGGCUGCCCAUCUCGUAAACCCUGGUCGUUUUUGGUCAAUCUAGCAGAUACUCUUUCUUUUUUUUUUUUAAAGAUUUUAUUUUUUCCUUUUUCUCCCCAAAGCCCCCCGGUACAUAGUUGUGUAUUCUUCAUUGUGGGUUCUUCUAGUUGUGGCAUGUGGGACGCUGCCUCAGCGUGGUCUGAUGAGCAGUGCCAUGUCCGCGCCCAGGAUUCGAACUAACGAAACACUGGGCCGCCUGCAGCAGAGCGCGCGAACUUAACCACUCGGCCACGGGGCCAGCCCCCAGAUACUCUUUCUUAUAUUUUAUAAGAAAGGACCAGAGAAACUCUGCCUUCCUUAAGGAGGAGGCUGGCCUUUUCAAUUUGGCAGAAGAUUAGAGGCAGAAAAAGAUAAAUCAGUGAAAUAAAUUCAAAUUCUA